UAAACUGACUGCCUUCUGUCUGCUCGGAGUAAAUUUCAUCCUGUCAUCAGGUCGCGGAGGAGGGGUUUGCUAAUACACAGUUUGCUCAGUGGAUCGAUGCUUCCUGGCAUCGCCUCGUCCUGCCUGUGCGUGUGAGUGUGUGUUUGUGUGUGUAUUUGUGUGUGUGUGUGGGUGAGGUAUAUGGAUGUGGGUUAGGGUGCGUGCGUGCGUGUGUGUGAACACCCAGAUUUCCUUCCACCCCCCCCGAGCUCCGCCGUUCCUCAUCCACAUCACUCCCAACCCGGCAUCUGGCGGCUGCAAACCUGCAGGUUUUUUUUUCCUCGGCGGAUAGUCGUCCAGCCGCCAUAGAGAGAGCUACGCGAAGGAGGCGGAGAGGAGAAGGGGGGAAAAUAAUAAUAAUAAUAAUAAAAGGCCAGGGGGGGGAAGACGAGGAAAUAGCAAACCUCCCCCCCCUUCUUCGCCAGCCGAGCAAACCGAACUAUUUACGCAUCCCGAUUUUGUUAUUUAUUGAUCCACUUUAAGAAAGAAAACAAAAAGAACCAACAUUGCCCCGGCGCCCAGCGAGGGUUCCUCUCCUUUUGCCUUGGAUGUGCCUGGAUGUCUGCAUCAAAGGAAGUCUCGCAACAGUUCAAACAAAACAAGAGGGACAAAAAAGGCGGCCCCCCCUCAGCUCCCCCAGCGCCGUUUUGGUUGUAAGAAAGAAAGAAAGAGAGUGAGAAAGAGAGAGCGAGAGAGGGGGGGGAAAGGGAGAGAAAAGAGCCCCAAACAAAGCUGCCACCCUCCGCAUCCCCGAACAGGUUGAUCGCGCCCCGAGGAGAAAGCGAAGGCGCUCGGCGCUGGGGUUGCCGCCGUGCCGUUGAGCGGGCUGAGAGAAGGAGGGAAAAGGGAGGAAAAACACACACGCGCGCACACACACACACACACAGGCGCGCACGCCGAGAGUGAGGGAGAAAGAGAGAGAGAGAGAGAGAGAGAGAGAAAACAAACCCCGCCAGCCUCGGAGCGGCUUCGGAUCUGGGAAAAGAGAAGUGAGGUUGGAGAAAGUACAGCGAUGCCAAGGCGGAAACAGCAGGCACCCAAAAGGGCGGCAGGUUAUGUCCAAGAGGAUGAUUUGAAAGAUGAGGAAGACAUAAAAGAGGAGGAAGAGGACGAUGAUGAGAGCAAUUCAACGGCUCAUCUUCAGGGUAGCAAUGACCCAGGAACAGAUGAAGAACAUGAAACUGGUCCUGAUCCAAGAGGAAGCUUAAGCUACCAGAAUUCCCCAGGGAGCCAUCUCUCCAAUCAGGAUGCAGAAAAUGAAUCCUUGCUCAGUGAUGCUAGCGACCAGGUGGCAGACAUUAAAAGCCUCUGCUCCAGGGAGGCAUCGGACUCCAAAGGCAAUAUCCAUCCCAAACAUCCAACGGAAGCACACAGCUGCAUGGAUAAAAUGACAGCUGUCUAUGCUAACAUCCUUUCAGAUUCUUAUUGGACAGGUUUGGGACUGGGGCUCAAACUGUCCAGUUCUGAUAAGAGGUCAUGCGACAAUAGAAACGGAGCAAGCAAAAGUGACUUUGAUUGGCAUCAGGAUGCCUUGACCAAAAGCUUGCAGCAGAGUUUACCAGUCCGGCCACUCUCCAAGCCAAACCUUUUCAGCUCAGUCCAGCUGUACAGACAAAGCAGCAAAAUGUGCGGAACUGUAUUCACAGGUGCUAGUAGGUUUCGGUGUAGGCAGUGCAGCGCUGCCUAUGAUACCUUAGUUGAGCUUACUGUCCAUAUGAAUGAAAGUGGCCAUUACCAAGAUGACAACCAUAAAAAAGACAAGCACAGAUCUACCAGCUAUUCCAAGCCCCGAAAAAGGGCUUUUCAGGACAUGGAUAAAGAAGAUGCUCAGAAAGUUCUGAAAUGUAUGUUCUGUGGUGACUCUUUUGACUCUCUUCAAGAUCUGAGUGUUCAUAUGAUCAAAACAAAACAUUACCAAAAAGUGCCUUUGAAGGAGCCAGUACCUACCAUAUCUUCCAAGAUGGUGACUCCAAAUAAGAAACGUGUAUUCGACAUUAAUAGGCCUUGCUCUCCAGAUUCGACCACGGGAUCUUUUGCUGACACGUUCUCUUCUCAUAAGAAUGCCAACCUGCAGCUCUCGUCUAACAAUCGUUACGGCUACCAGAACGGUGCCAGCUAUACAUGGCAGUUUGAAGCAUGCAAAUCACAGAUUCUCAAGUGCAUGGAAUGUGGGAGCUCCCACGAUACUUUGCAGCAACUCACAACCCACAUGAUGGUCACGGGUCACUUCCUGAAAGUCACCAGCUCAGCUUCCAAGAAAGGGAAACAACUUGUUUUGGAUCCCUUGGCUGUGGAAAAAAUGCAGUCACUUUCUGAUGCGUCAGCCACUGACAGCCAGCAUUCAAAACCCUCCAAUAAUUCAUCAACCGAUUCUACAGCUCCUUCUUCAGAGCUAAAAAAGGAGAGUAGGCAAAAUAAAUCUGAGGAAGCAAACAAAGAUGAAAAAGGGGUAAAAAAUGAAGACUACGAAGACGCUCUUCAAAAACCACUGGACCCGACAAUGAAAUAUCAGUAUCUCCGGGAGGAAGAUUUAGAAGAUGCUUCAAAAGGUGGUGGAGACAUUUUGAAGUCUUUGGAAAACACUGUCACCACAGCCAUCAAUAAAGCUCAGAAUGGAGCACCCAGCUGGAGUGCGUAUCCCAGCAUCCAUGCAGCAUACCAGCUCUCGGAGGGAACAAAGCCUUCCUUACCGGUGGGUUCCCAGGUUUUGCAAGUUCGACCAACAGUCAGUAAUAAACUGAGGCCCAUUGCUCCAAAAUGGAAAGUGAUGCCUAUAGUACCCAUGACAGCUAAUAUAGUCCAGUGCAGUCAGAUGAAAAAAGAAGGAGACUCCAAGAAGGAAGCUCAUAAGAACUACAUUAAAGACAGCAACAAGACAGAUGUGGUUCCACCGUAUCAGAACGAAGGCUCACCUCCUCAGGCUGAGACAUGUGUAGAGCCCAAAAAGUCAGAGCUAAGUCCUUUAAAGGAGGAACACAAGUCAAAGGAUGAGGAGGAAAAAAUGAAAGCAAAGGAUUCUGUGACAUCAUCUCUCAGCAAUGGAUGCCCUACUGGGAACCACAAUUCAGAGCUGCCUGGUUUAAAUCCCCUCAGUGCCCUGCAGUCUGUGCUGAACAACCAUCUGGGCAAAGCAAAUGAGCCCCUGCGACCUCAGUCAAACUCCAGCCCCAGUUCAAGUUCAACGUCUUUGUUCCACAAACCAAAUUUAAAUAUAAUAGAGAAGCCUGCUCUGUCUCCUGCGUCAACGCCGGCUAAACCUGCAAAUGUUACAUCCCGGCGUUAUGUGUUUGAGAACAAUGACCAACCAAUUGACCUGACAAAGUCAAAGAAUAAGAAAGGGGAAUCUGUUCAGGCCCAGUCUUGUACUUCCCCACCUCAGAAGCAUGCUCUAUCUGACAUUGCAGACAUGGUCAAAGUCCUUCCCAAAGCAACAACCCCAAAACCUGCUGCUUCAUCCAGAAUCCCAUCCAUGAAACUGGAAAUGGAUGUUCGGCGUUUCGAAGAUGUCUCUACAGAAGUCUCCACUUUGCAUAAAAGAAAAGGAAGGCAGUCCAACUGGAAUCCUCAGCAUCUCCUGAUUCUGCAAGCGCAAUUUGCAUCCAGUCUCUUCCAAACAUCGGAGGGUAAAUAUUUAUUGUCAGAUCUGGGCCCUCAAGAACGUAUGCAGAUUUCCAAGUUUACGGGGUUGUCCAUGACUACCAUCAGCCAUUGGCUGGCGAACGUCAAGUACCAGCUCAGAAAAACUGGGGGGACAAAGUUUUUGAAAAACAUGGAUAAAGGACACCCCAUCUUUUAUUGCAGUGACUGCGCAUCUCAGUUUAGAACCCCAUCAACGUACAUCGGCCAUUUAGAAUCCCAUCUAGGUUUCCAAAUGAAAGACAUGAACAAGCUGGCUGUGGAGCAGCAAACCAAGGUAGAGCAAGACAUUUCCAGAAUUUCAGUUCAAAGAUCUCCUGAAACAAUAGCUGGAGAAGAGGACACAGACUCUAAAUUCAAAUGUAAGUUGUGCUCUCGGACAUUUGUGAGCAAACAUGCUGUAAAACUUCAUCUAAGCAAAACGCACAGCAAAUCACCAGAACAUCAUUCACAGUUUGUAGCAGAAGUGGAUGAAGAAUAACUCCUAAGGAUGCAUGCAGUAUUUCCUCCUCCUCCUUCAAUUUCAUACAAAAGAAAGUAGCAGCUCUAAAAGCAGAAGAAAAUCUUAGGACUGAUGCCUUAAUCCCCAAGCCCGCUUUCAACUGACCUCUGCAUGAUGCACCACUUCUGACAUUGAACUUCCAACCACCUGGACAGAGAAGACUGCCAAAAGAAUCAUAAUAAUAAUAAUAAUAAAAAUCUCCAGCUAUUCUUCUUCAUCCUCACUAACAAUUUGGUAAUGAAGUAUUGAUUUCCACUCCCCUGCUUAUGGACAAUAUUAGAUUUUCAUUGAUAAACUGCACCAAGGCUCUCUGAGCUCCACUGUCCUUUUUUGCUGUCAGUAAAACAAAGUACCGCUGAAGUAGGAUAAUGACUGAAAACAUUGAUGUACUUAUUUUGUCAAUUUGUAACACUCAACGGGGGGGAAGAAAAAAAAAGGAGUACAAUUCUUCAUAGUUUAAUGUCGAGGCAUGUUCCACAAGAUGCAGUCACACUAGAAGCUUUGCUUUUCAUGGUAAUGUCCAUUUCCUAUUUAUAACUCCUUUGGGAUAGUUUGUUUAAAGGAAAUGUUUCAACUCAGUGCAGCUAUUACCCACACCUGGCCUGCCCAAUCCAGUCAUUGCACCAGGGAUCAAUACAUCACCGUAAGUAGAAGAAUUAUUAAGUUAAAACAGAUUUUGAGCCAAAAAAAAAAAAAACUCGGAACAGCGUUAAUCUUCCCAGCAAGUUGUUCAAGAUAGUUAUAUGGUUAACCAUGUUGCUGCCAAAGAUUUGUUGAAAAACGGAUUUCUGGUUUUGUUUUUUUGCAUCUAUAAUUCAUGUUGUCUCCUCUCUCUUGUUAACGAUUAUUAUUUAAAAUCUCCACUGUUCUGUUUUCUCAAGAUGUAUGCAAUGGAGUGGAUAUUUUUCAACAAGCCAGCAAAGAUUGUGUGUAUUCAGUGCUAAAAACAGUGAACUAUGGUACGGUCAUUUCUUGCCUGUAUUAUUGAGAACAUUUUUGUAGACUACCUUCUCUGGCCCGGUGGCUUUCCGAUGGG
This is an RNA transcript of Ahaetulla prasina, 5213 nucleotides long. It is a transcript of the gene named teashirt zinc finger homeobox 2, with no coding region annotated. The record is from RefSeq and is a predicted model, not a curated record. The transcript is spliced from 4 exons. Lineage: Eukaryota; Metazoa; Chordata; Lepidosauria; Squamata; Colubridae.